UACGUAGGGAGCAAGCGUUGUCCGGAAUCAUUGGGCGUAAAGCGCGCGUAGGCGGCCCUGUAAGUCCGUUGUGAAAGUCAAAGGCUCAACCUUUGAAAGCCGAUGGAUACUGCAGGGCUAGAGUCCGGAAGAGGCGAGUGGAAUUCCUGGUGUAGCGGUGGAAUGCGCAGAUAUCAGGAGGAACACCGGUGGCGAAGGCGGGACUCUGGGCCGAUACUGACGCUGAGGAGCGAAAGCGUGGGGAGCAAACAGG
This 253-nucleotide ribosomal RNA is filed under the name uncultured bacterium. RNAcentral describes it as "partial 16S ribosomal RNA". It matches the Rfam family "Bacterial small subunit ribosomal RNA", at positions 524 to 776 of the family's 1533-position model. The record is from RNAcentral.